This is a long non-coding RNA of Triticum aestivum (bread wheat), 1349 nucleotides long. RefSeq lists it as uncharacterized. The transcript is spliced from 3 exons. The record is from RefSeq and is a predicted model, not a curated record. NCBI's taxonomy places the organism in Eukaryota, Viridiplantae, Streptophyta, Magnoliopsida, Poales, Poaceae.
GAAGUCGCUAGUGUUCAUGGCGAUCAUGUCGGCAGUGAACUGGCAGGAGAAAUGGUACUUGUGAUCCAUUUCUCUCCACUUGACAUCAGAAUCCUCGUACUUUGUCUUCUCAAGAGCAUGUGCGAUCGUUCCCUGUCAGUUGAUGAAUUUUUCAGUAACGUGAUGUCAGAUUUGGAUGGUGACAGAAGAACAGGUUUCAGAUUUCCAUUUUGAUGGCUCAUUUUCACCUGGGUGACUCCUAGUUUGCUCGACAAGAGGGACGCUACUAAAUUGCCAUCGGUGUAAUUGCCAAUGACCAUGUCUGGCUUCCCCUCCAGAAUGUCAAGAAUCUUGACAGAAGAAUCCUGAAACCACCACGAUAAAGGUAAGGGUAAAUGUCAAACCGGGAGACCCACUGGCGAAGAUCCUUCCCAUCAUCAGUCUUGAAUGGCACACGGAGGAUGCUCGAGUGCUUCGUGUGCUCGACUGGUUCAAGCUCAACGUUGCACUUGGUGCCCUUUGCGUCCGGUAUGAGUCUUGUUAACUGCAAGAUGUUCGAGCAGCUGUCAGAAGCUUCCUCGUUGCAGUGUUAGGUCAUGGUAGUUUAAUGAAGGCGGUCGCAGUUUACCACGAGAAUCUUGGGGGUAACAUUCAGGCCCUGCUUCCUGAUUCUUUGCAGAAGUUCCUCUUCAAGAGCUCUAACUUGGUCCAGGAUGUAAACCACCUGUCAAGGAAAGACUGAAAUGUUGGCUUCUGUUUCAAGCAUUGAGACCUGUGGAUUUAGGGUUAUAUCUUCCAUUAUCAUUCUGGAUAAUGAUCGCUGUACCUGACCGCCGGUAUCUGGCAACCCAAGGACCUUCUCUUGACCAAAGUAACCGUGGAUGGAGAAGAUCACGAUGCUGAACACCGACGGCACCCUGCUGAAGAACUUCUCCAUGUUGAUCGGAUCCGGCGCCUGGAGCACUUCCGAGAGGAAGUUGAGUGUUUCUCUGCAUGUUUCGGCAGUGUCACCCCACCCCUUCUCAAAGCCCCACUCCUGAAACCUGCAACGGCCGGCCGGCGACCAUAUCAUCGAUCGGUCAGGCCGGCGACGAAGACCUCCGCGAGAAGCAACGCCGUCUGAAGCUUGUCGGCGGUGUCGAGGGUGUCGCUGAUCAUCAGUUUCUGCAUGAAAGUGAGGAGAGGCCCAGGUCAUUCUACCAUCGACACUGACCAUGCCGAAUGGAACGAUCAGUCAACAUGCAUGCAUGCUUAGGUGUUUCUUACCUCGCCGCGGUAGUUCAGUGCGAGCAGGUAGUCCAGCAGCGGCUUCAUGCUCUCCGGCUUGCCGCUCAGCUUGGAGGACAUGAACCGGGAGACGAACUGCAUCC